Molecule: long non-coding RNA, 980 nt
Organism: Pelodiscus sinensis (Chinese soft-shelled turtle)
Lineage: Eukaryota; Metazoa; Chordata; Testudines; Trionychidae
Source: RefSeq, a predicted model, not a curated record
ACACUUUCCCUUUUCAUUACUUGAGAAUUCUGAAAGUCCCUUUCCAGUUUUCUCAUUGACAUGUGGAGUGCUCUCAGCAUAUCUUUCAAGGUGACCAUGCCUGUGCCACAUACCAGGCAAUCUCCUGCCUGGAGCAAUGCUGAGGUGCUGGACCUCCUCAGUGUUUGGUGAAAGGAGACUGUCCAAUCACAGCUGUGCUCCAGUCAUUGGAAUUAUGACACCUGUGGGCUAAUGUCAAGAUGCAUGACUGAAAGGGACCAUGACCAAGACGCACUGCAGUGCAGGGUCAAAGUGUAGGAGCUGUGAAACACCUACCAAAGGUACAGGAGGCAAACCUCCACUCCAGUGUUGUGCUCAUGACCUGCUGGCUUUAAACAGAGUUGAAUGACAUAUUUGGAGGUGACCCCAAACUCCACCCCAAAGACUCCUGUGGAUACUUCAGAGCCUCAGAGGCCAUUCCAGAGUGGAGUGAGCCAGGAGGAGGAAAUUGUGCACUGAAGUGCCAAGGGGGAUCCAGAGACAGAGGAUGAAUCAGCAUCCACAGAUACUUGCAAUCAGGAACUAUUUUCUGUCUCAGAAGAGGCCGCUAGACAGUUGCAGAGGUCACAGGCUGGGGAAACGCAAACAGCAGAGGAUGCCUCAGGCACAGAACCUUGUACAGUACCUUGGAUUCCACAUCUGGGAACAAUAAUUGUGACCUGCCUCCUACCAGAGAGGGGAUCUGAUGCUUAAUGAAUUAAGGUGCAGUAUAGUUAGGGAGUCAGCAAACAGCAACACAAGAAACGGUGAUGCCUUCUCACCCAGGGCCCUCCCAGCAAAAGCAAUCUCCUACCUGUUGAGCCAGACAAGAGAGGGAGCUGCUUCUUAAAAUGUUUUCCAUUUUCCCUCCCCCAUAUCUUCUGCCACGAAAACAAGUGAUUGCUUGUGAGCUAAUCUUGUGCAGAGACUUCAUUAAAUAAAUACAACUAGUACUAGGUAGC